GUGUCCAGGAGUGUGGGUCUGGUGUCCAGUUCCCAUAGGAGAUAUUGAAGAUGGCAAUAGGGUUGCACUUCAUCUUCAGCUCCAGGGAUUUUAUCCUUCUCUUGGACAUCACUGGAAUACAGAGGGGGAAAAAAAAACUCCUCCAGUGUUGUUUCCUGCAAAGACCAUUCUUAAGAGCUCGUUGGACAGCUCAGGACUCUUGAAGUGAUAGCUAAUUGGUGAAAGAAAGGCCCUGAUUGUCUUGAGGGAACUGGAAAGUGCUGCGUGUGCUGCUGAAAGGGACUAGGGAGAAGGUGCCUGGUUUCGCUGAGCAGCUGCUGCUGGAGAUGUUUGGAGAUUACAUCAGCAUUGGAAAAGAGGGGCCAAAAAAAAAAGUCCAACUUCACAGAGACGGAGUUUAUGGAGGUUUUUUUCCUCCUUCCAAAGGUCUUCUGACAAUACUGUCAUUGUCAAUAUAAGAGUUGUUAAUUCUUUAUGAAUAGCACAUGGGGCCUCUUGACUAAAUAGUACGUUACAUGUCCCAAAUCUGUCAGCUGGACUCUUCUCUCACAUGCUAGUGAGAUCACUUUGAUUGGAAUGUUAGAGGAAUUGCUGGGCUGGCCGUGCAGAACUGAAUACUGCAUUAUAUAAUUAGAUCUCCCAGAGUAUUUCUUUUCACAUUACCUCUUUAUUCUAGCUUAAAUAUGGAAUCAUUCCUUUUGAUGACUUUACUGGUUGUAAUUAUAUUAAUACGAUUCAUUUUGUGGUCCUGUCUUAGUGCUUAUAUAGAUUAUAAACUGUCCCAAAGGUUUCCUGGCACAAAAAAAGAGGACUAAGAGACUUCAAAAGGCUCGUUCAGCUUUGAAUUGACAAUGGGGAGAGCUGGGUAAGGUAAACGGAGCUAGAGCAGCUUUUACCUUGGGAUCUGAUGAGAGAGAAAUGACCUGCUGAGACUGCAGCUGAGUGAAGAUCCUUCAGAAAGCCUUAUGCUGACAGAGGGGAAGGAAUGUCAACUGAUUGAGUCAAAUGACUUCCUAUCCAACUUGGGCAUGAAUUUGCUGUUGGGAACAGACU
RNAcentral lists this long non-coding RNA (1053 nucleotides) under Serinus canaria (Common canary). RNAcentral's name for it is "lncRNA (ENSSCAG00000008229.1)". The record is from RNAcentral. Lineage: Eukaryota; Metazoa; Chordata; Aves; Passeriformes; Fringillidae.